RNAcentral lists this ribosomal RNA (433 nucleotides) under uncultured bacterium. Its description in RNAcentral is "partial 16S ribosomal RNA". It matches the Rfam family "Bacterial small subunit ribosomal RNA", at positions 29 to 507 of the family's 1533-position model. The record is from RNAcentral.
AGCGAACGCUGGCGGCAGGCCUAACACAUGCAAGUCGAACGAACUCUUCGGAGUUAGUGGCGGACGGGUGAGUAACACGUGGGAACGUGCCUUUUGGUUCGGAAUAACUCAGGGAAACUUGUGCUAAUACCGAAUGUGCCCUUCGGGGGAAAGAUUUAUCGCCAUUAGAGCGGCCCGCGUCUGAUUAGCUAGUUGGUGAGGUAACGGCUCACCAAGGCGACGAUCAGUAGCUGGUCUGAGAGGAUGACCAGCCACACUGGGACUGAGACACGGCCCAGACUCCUACGGGAGGCAGCAGUGGGGAAUCUUGCGCAAUGGGCGAGAGCCUGACGCAGCCAUGCCGCGUGAAUGAUGAAGGUCUUAGGAUUGUAAAAUUCUUUCACCGGGGACGAUAAUAACGGUACCCGGAGAAGAAGCCCCGGCUAACUUCGUG